UUCCAGGCUGGUUGGGACCACCAACUCAUCAACUGGGCCCUCACAGAUGUCCGAUAGGCGACUUUUUGACAUCAAGAGGCUAGAAACUCCACCCUCAGAUCAUGCCAAUGCCGCCAUUUUGUGAACAUGGAUCCUGUGAAGAGGCCAAGAAGUACAAGCAUAGCAGGAACUCAUGCCAGCAGGAAUAUGCAAGUCAAAGCUCAGCAGUUCUAAUCUUCCCCCCUUCAAUGUACCCCGGCCCUACACAAGGCCAUUCUCCGAGGGAGUAUCCUGGGAACAAACAAUCUGGCAAGUUAUGCAGACUGCGUUCCGUUCCUGCAAGGGUCCAGCGUUCUUAAGCCCCUUGCCUUCAGGCUGUUUCAUCUGGAGCCUUUAGAUUUCAUCAGAACAGCUUGUGUCAGAUGUGCUGGGGGGCAGCCUGGAACUCUGGAAUACAAAAGCCGUGAGACCUCACCCAGAGACCCACUCGCGCCUUGAAGUACCACUAGAGAUCUGGGUCCUACAAACACAGAAAUUUUCAUCAAUUCCACUUUGUUCAGUUCCCACCAAUAAGAGGAAAAGCUAAGCCAGGACAGUGGCUGGUUGGAGAUUCCUGAAGGCAGUACAACCUGCUGUUCACGCCGGUGCCCAGGUGCAGUGGGAGCGCACGCUUCCCAAUUCCUGCUGCCAACAAGGCCGGCCACCGUCCAGCUCUUCCACCUGGCACUGGAGCAUCCUGAUGUUGCCCAUCCCUGGGACAUGGCGUAUCCCUUUCUGCAAGACAGAUAAGUAACUGAAAAUAAAGAACCGGCGUGAAGAGAAUUGGAAGAGAACUUUGAACCCUGGGACCCAGUGAAAAUGAAUAGGUGGGGUGACAAAGAGGAAAACUGAAGGUGCCGGACCCACUAGGGGAAUGCAGAAGGAGAGGCAGAGAGCAAGAGAAAAUCAGGAAGGAAAAGAGAACAGAACUCACUUUCACUGAGCAAUGACUUUGUGCCAGAACAGUAAAAUGACUUUG
Equus asinus (donkey) is the source of this 997-nucleotide long non-coding RNA. NCBI's taxonomy places the organism in Eukaryota, Metazoa, Chordata, Mammalia, Perissodactyla, Equidae. The record is from Ensembl.